RNAcentral lists this transfer RNA (85 nucleotides) under Felis catus (domestic cat). It matches the Rfam family "tRNA". From Rfam's summary of the family: Transfer RNA (tRNA) molecules are approximately 80 nucleotides in length. Their secondary structure includes four short double-helical elements and three loops (D, anti-codon, and T loops). The record is from Rfam by way of RNAcentral. Lineage: Eukaryota; Metazoa; Chordata; Mammalia; Carnivora; Felidae.
GCCUGGGUGGCUCAGACGGUUGAGCGUCCGACUUCGGCUCAGGUCAUGAUCUCGCGGUCCGUGGGUUCGAGCCCCGCAUCAGGCU